RNAcentral lists this transfer RNA (75 nucleotides) under Nanobdellota archaeon. RNAcentral describes it as "tRNA-Glu". It matches the Rfam family "tRNA". Rfam says of the family: Transfer RNA (tRNA) molecules are approximately 80 nucleotides in length. RNAcentral also lists the same sequence under 1 other name. The record is from RNAcentral. Lineage: Archaea; Nanobdellati; Nanobdellota.
GCCCCCGUCGUCUAGUCCGGUCAAGGAUGCGAGCCUCUCGAGCUCGAGACCCGGGUUCAAAUCCCGGCGGGGGCA